Molecule: transfer RNA, 77 nt
Filed under: Rhodopirellula baltica SH 1
Lineage: Bacteria; Pseudomonadati; Planctomycetota; Planctomycetia; Pirellulales; Pirellulaceae
Also listed under: 1 other name
Description: Pro tRNA
Rfam family: tRNA
About the family: Transfer RNA (tRNA) molecules are approximately 80 nucleotides in length. Their secondary structure includes four short double-helical elements and three loops (D, anti-codon, and T loops).
Source: RNAcentral
CGGGGCAUGGCUCAGCCUGGUAGAACGCUGCGUUCGGGACGCAGAGGUCGCUGGUUCAAAUCCUGUCGCCCCGACCU